RNAcentral lists this unclassified non-coding RNA (253 nucleotides) under Hevea brasiliensis (rubber tree). The record is from RNAcentral. Lineage: Eukaryota; Viridiplantae; Streptophyta; Magnoliopsida; Malpighiales; Euphorbiaceae.
GUUUCCCUUAUUCACUAUCUUUCUGACACAAUAGUGUUAUUCAUAAGUUAAUGUUGCCUUUGCUUUAAUACCACAUGUAUGGAGUAGUCGGCACCGGCUUCCACCUUGACUUUAUUUAUGUAGAUUAAACAAGAGGACCAUGAUUGAAUUGAGUCCGUUUGGUAUUCUCCCUAAAUUGACUUCUUUUAGCUGGAACACUACUGCAGAUAUAUACGUUAGCCUGUAUCUGGACUGACUCUAUUGCGAUACUGUG